Molecule: long non-coding RNA, 867 nt
Organism: Talpa occidentalis (Iberian mole)
Lineage: Eukaryota; Metazoa; Chordata; Mammalia; Eulipotyphla; Talpidae
Exons: 3
Source: RefSeq, a predicted model, not a curated record
CUCUUCUGCUCCCCUCAGUGUGUCUGGGUGAAAGAAGGGUGACCCAGAACAAACCGUUUGCACACGCACACAAACGCACUUCUCUUCCAGAACAGAUGGAGGGAUUGUCUUUGACCUUAACUUUUUCUGUAUGCAUUGCGCUGAUCAUUAUAGAAAUUGCCAACAGAUACCAAACACUUAACCCCUAAGUCUCCUCCAAAAUAGAGAAAAAGAAUAAAGCCGAGCAAGAGGAGAGAAUGGUCCACGAGUUGUCCUGAAAUGCAUAAACAACUUCAAGAGCCUACCAAAGAUGAUUACUUUGCAGCACAGAACUGGUCCUGGCCUGUUACUGCCAGCUAUGGUCUCUAACAAGCCCUCUACAGUCUCCAAUCAUUUCCAGGAUCCAAACACAGUCUGUUACCAAACAGGUGAGCCCUAGAAGAGGCAGAAGUCAGGGGUGACAAGACACAUCUGAAACCAGGACAAUCUUAGAAACUCAGGACUUAUGGUUGCUGCAUCUAUAGCACAAAUAUAUAUAUAAAACAACCAGUAUAUUAAGCAAGAAUACAGUUCUAUGGUAACACUAUCUUGCUGUUGUCAUUAGUCAAAAGUGAAUAUCAAACUGUUUAUAAAAUGUGGCCUACACACCCUGGCACUUUCCUUUAGGUACAGAUCUUCCUCAAUUUUCAUGGGGUUACAUCCUGGUUAUAUAUUUAUAAUAUUUAUAAGUUGAAAUAUUUUAAGUCAAAUAUGUACCUCAUACACCUAACAUAUUGAACUUCAUAGCUUUGUUUAGCCUUCUUUAAACCUGCUCAGAACAGCUACAUUAUUCUAGAAUUGGGCAAAAUCAUAUAACACAGAACCUAUUUUAUAAUAAAGCACUGAAUA